UACGAAGGGGGCUAGCGUUGCUCGGAAUCACUGGGCGUAAAGGGUGCGUAGGCGGGUUUUUAAGUCAGGGGUGAAAUCCUGGAGCUCAACUCCAGAACUGCCUUUGAUACUGAAGAUCUUGAGUCCGGGAGAGGUGAGUGGAACUGCGAGUGUAGAGGUGAAAUUCGUAGAUAUUCGCAAGAACACCAGUGGCGAAGGCGGCUCACUGGCCCGGUACUGACGCUGAGGCACGAAAGCGUGGGUAGCAAACAGG
RNAcentral lists this ribosomal RNA (253 nucleotides) under uncultured bacterium. RNAcentral describes it as "partial 16S ribosomal RNA". It matches the Rfam family "Bacterial small subunit ribosomal RNA", at positions 524 to 776 of the family's 1533-position model. The record is from RNAcentral.